This is a long non-coding RNA of Cyprinodon tularosa, 503 nucleotides long. RefSeq lists it as uncharacterized. NCBI's taxonomy places the organism in Eukaryota, Metazoa, Chordata, Actinopteri, Cyprinodontiformes, Cyprinodontidae. The transcript has 3 exons. The record is from RefSeq and is a predicted model, not a curated record.
GUCUUCCUCCCGCAACAGCGCCAACAUGUCAAAUCCACUAGACAUCCUCCUGCCUGGAAGGCACCUGCUUCUUAUGGAGUGAAUAUGGAUGUGCCUCUUGACUUCGCCCUCUGUAUACGCUUCCUUCAUCUGUUCGGAUCUGAUCUCCCUUUCAGUUCUGUGUCAUUCAAGGCUUCGGCAUCUGGAACUCUCCGUGCGGCUACAGUUGCAUCUUGUCAGCCAACCGGCUGGUAUCAACCUCGUUCUCUGAGUUUCCUAUCUCAGAUGCCCUAGCUGCUGCUACUACAGAUUCACAGUCUUUUUAUUUCAAUAAAUGCCUUUUUUAAUAAUCCCACUAUCUAGACUGCCUCGAACACUGGGUCCUCUGUUUUGAGUUGUGACAUUCCGAUUGUUUGAAAUAACCAAUGAAAAAUAAUAUUGUACCUAAAAAUGACCUCGUGUCUUCCAAAUGAAAUUUCCACCUCUUCCACCUUAUAAUUCCAUCAUGUAGAAUGUCCAAUUUU